Molecule: ribosomal RNA, 252 nt
Filed under: uncultured bacterium
Lineage: Bacteria
Description: partial 16S ribosomal RNA
Rfam family: Bacterial small subunit ribosomal RNA
Source: RNAcentral
UACGGAGGAUGCGAGCGUUAUCCGGAUUUAUUGGGUUUAAAGGGUGCGUAGGCGGUAUUUUAAGUUAGUGGUAAAACGUCGGGGCUUCACCUUGAUUGGCCAUUAAAGCUGGAGUACUAGAGUACAGACGAGGUAGGCGGAAUAAGUUAAGUAGCGGUGAAAUGCUUAGAUAUAACUUAGAACCCCGAUAGCGAAGGCAGCUUACCAGACUGUUACUGACGCUGAAGCACGAGAGCGUGGGUAGCGAACAGG